CAGUCGCCGCGGUAAUACGAAGGGUGCAAGCGUUACUCGGAAUUACUGGGCGUAAAGCGUGCGUAGGUGGUGGUUUAAGUCCGUUGUGAAAGCCCUGGGCUCAACCUGGGAAUUGCAGUGGAUACUGGGUCACUAGAGUGUGGUAGAGGAUAGUGGAAUUUCCGGUGUAGCAGUGAAAUGCGUAGAGAUCGGAAGGAACAUCUGUGGCGAAGGCGACUAUCUGGGCCAACACUGACACUGAGGCACGAAAGCGUGGGGAGCAAACAGGAUUAGAUACCCGUGUAGUCCAUGUCUCUUAUAC
RNAcentral lists this ribosomal RNA (301 nucleotides) under uncultured bacterium. RNAcentral's name for it is "partial 16S ribosomal RNA". It matches the Rfam family "Bacterial small subunit ribosomal RNA", at positions 509 to 807 of the family's 1533-position model. The record is from RNAcentral.